This is a non-coding RNA of Podarcis lilfordi (Lilford's wall lizard), 76 nucleotides long. Lineage: Eukaryota; Metazoa; Chordata; Lepidosauria; Squamata; Lacertidae. The record is from the annotation of a GenBank genome assembly.
UUCAAGAUAGCUCAGUUGAUAGAGCAUGAGACUCUUAAUCUCAGGGUUGUGGGUUUGAGCACCACAUGGGGCAAAG